RNAcentral lists this ribosomal RNA (62 nucleotides) under Mycolicibacterium mucogenicum. Its description in RNAcentral is "partial 23S ribosomal RNA". Lineage: Bacteria; Bacillati; Actinomycetota; Actinomycetes; Mycobacteriales; Mycobacteriaceae. The record is from RNAcentral.
CUGCACACUUAGCAAUAAGUUUAGGGAACUGGCACUAACCGGCCGAAAACUUACACACACCC